Molecule: ribosomal RNA, 318 nt
Filed under: Planctomycetota bacterium
Lineage: Bacteria; Pseudomonadati; Planctomycetota
Description: bacterial SSU rRNA
Rfam family: Bacterial small subunit ribosomal RNA
Source: RNAcentral
UAAUUGAAGGGUUUGAUCCUGGCUCAGAACGAACGCUGGCGGCGUGGUUGAUACAUGCAAGUCGAACGGGAAAGGGGGCUUCGGCUCCCCGGUACAGUGGCGGACGGGUGAGUAAUGUAUGAUCAAUCUGCCCGAAAGAUCAGGAUAGCCGCCCGAAAGGGCGGGUAAUACUGAAUAAGCCCACGGGGAGGCAUCUCCCUGCGGGAAAAGGAUGGGGAUCUUCGGACCUUUCGCUUUCGGAUGAGAUCAUAACCUAUCAGUUUGUUGGCGGGGUAACGGCCCACCAAGACUACGACGGGUAGCCGGCCUGAGAGGGUG